RNA transcript from Alligator mississippiensis (American alligator), 730 nucleotides. RefSeq lists it as uncharacterized. The record is from RefSeq and is a predicted model, not a curated record. Lineage: Eukaryota; Metazoa; Chordata; Crocodylia; Alligatoridae. The transcript is spliced from 3 exons.
ACCCGGGCGUCCGGGGCACGCACGCACGCAGACAAACACACACACACGCGCGCACGCAUACCCGGGGAACCCAGGCGUCCGGGGCACACACGCGCACACACGCGCGCGCGGGGAACCCAGGCAUCCAGGGCACCGCGGCGGUGCCUGGAUGGGAGGGCGGUGCGCGGCGCCCCGGCCCGGCGAGGCUCCAGACCUCCCUGGGGUGCCAGCCCCUUCUGGAACACAGCUCACUCGCCCUUGAGCCCCGGGUACGCCUGGCCUGGGGCAGCUGGGGAGGGGCUGCAAGCACGGGGGAGCUCAGGCAUCACCAGGCUGGAGGGAGACAUGAAGAAGAGCCGGAGCAUCCUGGCCGUGACUCCAGACGAGAAGCCAAGGGAGGCACCGGAGUCGGGGUGUUGCAGUCGAUCAUACACGUCCUCAAGCCUGCUGGGUGCAGAGCUGAGGCGCAGCCGGCGCCGUCUCUCCUGCAGCCUGCAGGUGCCAUCCUGGAAGCCGAUGGAGCGGUCGCGCUCCCCUGAGCCCAAUGGCAUGGCCCGACCCACGACGCUGCCCCUACGCAUCCCACCCCGUAUCUCCAUCACCCACGCAGAGCCAGACAGGUAGGGGGCACUGGUGCAUGAGGCCAGGGGUAGUGGGGCUGCCAGGGAGGAGUCAAAGGUUGUGGGGAGUGUGCAAAUGCCCUGGGAAGGGCACCUGAGGGACAGAGCCUGGUGCUGGCUCCAUGGGUGAC